This is a non-coding RNA of Arachis ipaensis, 904 nucleotides long. NCBI's taxonomy places the organism in Eukaryota, Viridiplantae, Streptophyta, Magnoliopsida, Fabales, Fabaceae. The record is from RefSeq and is a predicted model, not a curated record.
AAUUAAACUAAUAAGCGAGGAAUAUCCUAAGUCUAAAAUCAUAUUUCAUAUAAUAAUAUCAGGCGAGAUUUUAAGUCUCUAUAAAAAUCUGGCCUGGUCUGCAAAAACUUGUGAUUCCAAAUAAAAACUAAGAGAUGAGAGAGAGAGAUAUGGCUAAGAGCAUUGUGAGAAAUGCAAUUGUAAUAAUGUUGAUAACUGAAAUGGUUAUUUGUUCAGUUAAUGCGAAAUUUGAUAAUACAAUUCCUGAAGAAGAAAGAAGUUGGAGUCCAUAUUAUUAUAUUGCAUUUGAUGCGAAGGAGUGUAUAAGCAAGUGCUGGAGUCAGUAUCCCUAUAUAUCAAGGAAGUUAAGGGAAUGCCUUACUUAUUGCUAUGAUCAGGUCGGUGGCACUGACUAAUAGUACCUAUUAAUGCAACGUGUCGGACGAAUGUCGGUGAGCAUUAUGUCCGAAAUGUGUCCGACACGCAAAUACAGUAACUCAGCGAAGUGUCCGUGCUUCAUAGUUCAAGUGACAGAUCUGAGCUUCUGUAAUCAGUGGAUGCUUUUGCCAGAUUUGCCAAGAAAAACAAAAUACUAAGAAACAAGGGAGUGACAUGUGGUGACAUCAAUAAUGUUGACAGAUGUAUGGCAUUAGGAGUGGAACUUGCACACAAGCUAGCUUGCUUUCUUUCUGUUGUGGACAUUUAAAUAAUUCAAUGGAAACCAAUUUAAGUCGCUAACAAUUUUGGGUGUGUUUGGUAACCACGUUUGAAGGAAAAAAGCACGUUAGAGCUUCUUGAAAGUUUCAUUUUUUUGUUGGCUAAUUUUUUUUCUACAAACGCAGAAGUGAUUUUGUUCAUAAAAUCACGUUUACAAGAAGCAAUAAUUUCUAGCUUCUCCGUUGCACUAACGUGCUUUUAGCCAAUA